AGCGGCGGACGGGUGAGUAACGCGUGGGUAACCUGCCUCAUACACAUGGAUAACAUACCGAAAGGUAUGCUAACACAAGAUGAUAUAAGAGAUUCGCAUGGAUUUCUUAUCAAAGCUCCGGCGGUAUGAGAUGGACCCGCGUCUGAUUAGCUAGUUGGUAAGGUAACGGCUUACCAAGGCGACGAUCAGUAGCCGACCUGAGAGGGUGAUCGGCCACAUUGUAACUGAGACACGGUCCAAACUCCUACGGGAGGCAGCAGUGGGGAAUAUUGCACAAUGGGCGAAAGCCUGAUGCAGCAACGCCGCGUGAGCGAUGAAGGCCUUCGGGUCGUAAAGCUCUGUCCUCAAGGAAGAUAAUGACGGUACUUGAGGAGGAAGCCCCGGCUAACUACGUGCCAGCAGCCGCGGUAAUACGUAGGGGGCUAGCGUUAUCCGGAUUUACUGGGCGUAAAGGGUGCGUAGGUGGUUUCUUAAGUCAGGAGUGAAAGGCUACGGCUCAACCGUAGUAAGCUCUUGAAACUGGGAAACUUGAGUGCAGGAGAGGAAAGUGGAAUUCCUAGUGUAGCGGUGAAAUGCGUAGAUAUUAGGAGGAACACCAGUAGCGAAGGCGGCUUUCUGGACUGUAACUGACACUGAGGCACGAAAGCGUGGGGAGCAAACAGGAUUAGAUACCCUGGUAGUCCACGCCGUAAACGAUGAGUACUAGGUGU
Molecule: ribosomal RNA, 710 nt
Filed under: uncultured bacterium
Lineage: Bacteria
Description: bacterial SSU rRNA
Rfam family: Bacterial small subunit ribosomal RNA
Source: RNAcentral